AACCAUAGAAACCUGCGGAGUACCUGCGGAAGGAUCAUUACAGAGUUGCAAAACUCCCUAAACCAUUGUGAACGUUACCUAAACCGUUGCUUCGGCGGGCGGCCCGGGUCCUUCCCGGCGCCCAUCGGCCCUCGCGGGCGCCCGCCGGAGGUAAACCAAACUAUUGCAUUGUAUGGCCUCUCUGAGUCCUCUGUACUGAAUAAGUCAAAACUUUCAGCAAUGGAUCUCAGAUCGGAAGAG
This 240-nucleotide unclassified non-coding RNA is filed under the name soil metagenome. RNAcentral's name for it is "partial contains 5.8S ribosomal RNA, internal transcribed spacer 2, and large subunit ribosomal RNA". The record is from RNAcentral.